RNAcentral lists this long non-coding RNA (663 nucleotides) under Vulpes vulpes (red fox). RNAcentral's name for it is "lncRNA (ENSVVUG00000025817.1)". The record is from RNAcentral. Lineage: Eukaryota; Metazoa; Chordata; Mammalia; Carnivora; Canidae.
GCUGGGCCCGGGCGGAGCCGAGGGCGGGGGAGGAGGGCGGAGCGGGGUGGGAGGCGCGGCGGCCGAGGGGCUGCAGAAAAGUUGCGGGGAUCGGAGCGACAGCAGCCGCGGAGCCGCGGGAGUGGGGAGCGCGCGGCGGGUGCAGAGCGGGCAGAGCGGGCGGCGCGCACCCGGGGCGGCAGGGAGCCCCAGACCCGUCUCCCGGGGAUGCGUGGGGCCCCGAGCCAGGUGCUGGCGCGCGGCCGGGCACAGCCUCCAGAUUUGGCUUGCAGAGCAGCGUGCCCCCCUUGAAGGGAAAUGCGGUUUGCAGCAGCCCUUGCCGGCCAAGAGUGGCCACGUGACAUGGAGCUGCCCUGUGGGAUGCGAGGGAUGGCCUGGGUCCGGGGCCCUAGAGGGCUGUGCAGGGCCUUCGGAGCGCGGAGUGGCCUGUGCGCUGUGCAGCUGGUGGGCCGCUGUGCACUGCCGGGCGUUUGCGGCGAUGCAGACUUGGGUCCCCAGCACCUGGAUGCCAGUGUCGGUGGCGGCUUCCUGGGCGGUAACCCUGAAUCGGAAACUUUUGCCGGGAAUGGCCAACCCGCUGAACAUGCGGGCCGCCGGCCGUGCGCUCCUGCUCUCUUUUGGAAACUGGACUUAUUUUUAUAUAAAUUAGAGGUUUCAACGUGA